This 627-nucleotide long non-coding RNA is filed under the name Chrysolophus pictus (golden pheasant). RNAcentral describes it as "lncRNA (ENSCPIG00010001269.1)". The record is from RNAcentral. Lineage: Eukaryota; Metazoa; Chordata; Aves; Galliformes; Phasianidae.
AUGGAGGGAGGUUCCCAAUGUAUUCCCAGAUUCCUCCAGUUAAAAACUUCCCACCCGCAGACAUCCCAGUGCAUCCCUUUGGAGAACAAAACGCAAGGGGAAUCCAGAGAUGAUGUUCGGCUUCCUGCUGCUGAGACAAAUGGUGAGGCUGUUAAACUCUGCCAUUGUCCCAUGCCCUUUAGAGUGGAAAGAGUUUGUACUCCUUGCUCUAAGAUUUACGUGGCAGCACUCUCCAACGCCAGGCAGCCGGGAAGUCUCCAGCUGAAACGUCUCCACAAGCUGAUGGGAAGCGGCGAGACCCACACUGCCUUCAUCACUGUCAUCCCCAUCAGUGGAGCCAAAGGGUCAGAAAACUUCCAUCCCCCCCGUUGUGGUCUCUAUUUUGGGUUCCAGUGCUGCAGCAGCAUUCAUCUUUGUUACAUCCAUGGCAUGCCAUCAGCUCGCAGGUGAUGAGGAAAAGCAGAUGCAGUUUGUGCUGACCCUGCAUACAUCCUUCAGUGAGCAGAAGUGCUCCAAAACCCAACCCCUGCUGCUGCUGAGGAGGUAUUGGACUCGACGAUCCUUAUGGGUCUCUUCCAACUUGGGACGUUCUAUGCUUCUAUGAUUCUACACAAAGGGUAAAAAAAG